ACGAACGCUGGCGGCGUGCCUAAUCCAUGCAAGUCGAGCGAAGUUUUUCUGGUGCUUGCACCGGAAAAACUUAGCGGCGAACGGGUGAGUAACACGUAAAGAACCUGCCUCAUAGACUGGGACAACUAUUGGAAACGAUAGCUAAUACCGGAUAAUAGCAUUAACUGCAUGGUUGAUGUUUAAAAGUUGGUUUUGCUAACACUAUGAGAUGGCUUUGCGGUGCAUUAGCUAGUUGGUGGGGUAAAGGCCUACCAAGGCGACGAUGCAUAGCCGACCUGAGAGGGUGAUCGGCCACACUGGGACUGAGACACGGCCCAGACUCCUACGGGAGGCAGCAGUAGGGAAUCUUCCGCAAUGGGCGAAAGCCUGACGGAGCAACGCCGCGUGAGUGAAGAAGGAUUUCGGUUCGUAAAGCUCUGUUGUUAGGGAAGAAUGAUUGUGUAGUAACUAUACACAGUAGAGACGGUACCUAACCAGAAAGCCACGGCUAACUACGUG
This 498-nucleotide ribosomal RNA is filed under the name uncultured bacterium. RNAcentral describes it as "partial 16S ribosomal RNA". It matches the Rfam family "Bacterial small subunit ribosomal RNA", at positions 29 to 507 of the family's 1533-position model. The record is from RNAcentral.